GCUGGAUUCGCUCAGUUGGCAGAGAGAUACCUUGCCAAGGUAUAGAUCGAGAGUUCGAGGCUCUUAUUCCGCUCCA
RNAcentral lists this transfer RNA (76 nucleotides) under Burkholderiaceae bacterium. Its description in RNAcentral is "tRNA-Gly". It matches the Rfam family "tRNA". Rfam says of the family: Transfer RNA (tRNA) molecules are approximately 80 nucleotides in length. The record is from RNAcentral. Lineage: Bacteria; Pseudomonadati; Pseudomonadota; Betaproteobacteria; Burkholderiales; Burkholderiaceae.